AUUGAACGCUGGCGGCAGGCCUAACACAUGCAAGUCGAGCGAGCGGCGGACGGGUGAGUAAUGUAUGGGGACUGCCCGAUAGAGGGGGAUAACUACUGGAAACGGUGGCUAAUACCGCAUACUAUCGGAUAACCCAUAUGGGAUUAGCUAGUAGGUGGGGUAAAGGCUCACCUAGGCGACGAUCCCUAGCUGGUCUGAGAGGAUGAUCAGGCACACUGGGACCGAGAAACGGCCCAGACGCCUACGGAGGGAGCAGGUGGGAAGAUUGCAAAAUGGGCGGAAGGCUGAUGCAGCCAUGGCGCGGGGAGGAAGAAGGCCUUAGGGUUGUAAAGUACUUUCAGCGGGGAGGCGUUACCCGCAGAAGAAGCACCGGCUAACUCCGUGCCAGCAGCCGCGGUAAUAC
RNAcentral lists this ribosomal RNA (403 nucleotides) under uncultured bacterium. Its description in RNAcentral is "partial 16S ribosomal RNA". It matches the Rfam family "Bacterial small subunit ribosomal RNA", at positions 29 to 526 of the family's 1533-position model. The record is from RNAcentral.